This 253-nucleotide ribosomal RNA is filed under the name uncultured bacterium. RNAcentral describes it as "partial 16S ribosomal RNA". It matches the Rfam family "Bacterial small subunit ribosomal RNA", at positions 524 to 776 of the family's 1533-position model. The record is from RNAcentral.
UACAGAGGUCCCAAGCGUUGUUCGGAUUCAUUGGGCGUAAAGGGUGCGUAGGCGGCGCGGUAAGUCGGGUGUGAAAUCUCGGGGCUUAACUCCGAAACUGCAUUCGAUACUGCCGUGCUUGAGGACUGGAGAGGAGACUGGAAUUUACGGUGUAGCGGUGAAAUGCGUAGAUAUCGUAAGGAAGACCUGUGGCGAAGGCGGGUCUCUGGACAGUUCCUGACGCUGAGGCACGAAGGCCAGGGGAGCAAACGGG